Plodia interpunctella (Indianmeal moth) is the source of this 611-nucleotide long non-coding RNA. RefSeq lists it as uncharacterized. The transcript is spliced from 3 exons. The record is from RefSeq and is a predicted model, not a curated record. Lineage: Eukaryota; Metazoa; Arthropoda; Insecta; Lepidoptera; Pyralidae.
UAACGCAAUUUGUGUUUACUUUUAAUAUAAACUUUUCAUUCGCGCACAAACAAAGCGAUCAAAGUACCUAGAUUCGAUUGGUGAUUUCGCGACAAAUAUCUGUUUGCUUUCAAUUUCCGCGGCGGGGUUUGUGGCCGGCACCGAGGAGAACCGCUCUCAGUGUGACACGUUCUCUUGGCUUCAAUAAAUAAACUAUGAAUCAACUGCGGUCACACUUUACCGCGUCCACAGCUAACGACGUUUUAUUUUCAUUCGUUUCUUAUUAAAACGGCAGCUAAUUCCUGCAAGACGCCCGCCAAUCAGGGGCGUCUCGUCGCAGUCGCGGGCGAGCUGGGCUUGAGCCCCGCAUUCUGAGAGCCUCUUGAUCAAUCUCGGCGAAUCCGCUUUAAUUAAAAUGGGAUUAUCUGAGGGCCGCAGGCGACGCGCCUAUCGCCGUGCAAUACGACGGGAACACUUUAUUCCGUACAAAUACAGUACCUGUUCUCUUCUCGACGUCGCUGAAGAGCACGUCGUCGAUCCUGGCGGGCGGCGAGCGGCCCUUGCUGUUGACGGCCACGGCCGCCAGCCGGUAGCGCACGUCCCACUCCAGCCCGCGCACCGUCCACGACGGC